This 732-nucleotide ribosomal RNA is filed under the name uncultured Leptotrichia sp. RNAcentral's name for it is "bacterial SSU rRNA". It matches the Rfam family "Bacterial small subunit ribosomal RNA", at positions 28 to 776 of the family's 1533-position model. The record is from RNAcentral. Lineage: Bacteria; Fusobacteriati; Fusobacteriota; Fusobacteriia; Fusobacteriales; Leptotrichiaceae.
GAUGAACGCUGACAGAAUGCUUAACACAUGCAAGUCGAUGGGGAAGUGGUGCUUGCACCAUGGCAACCAUGGCGGACGGGUGAGUAACGCGUAAGGGACUUACCUGCAGGACUGGGAUAACAGGGGGAAACUCCUGACAAGACCGGAUAAUGUCAUGGAGCUGCAUGGCUUUAUGAUGAAAGGAGACGCCUGCGGAGAGCCUUGCGUCCUAUUAGCUAGUUGGUGAGGUAAGGGCUCACCAAGGCGAAGAUAGGUAGCCGGCCUGAGAGGGUGGACGGCCACAAGGGGACUGAGAUACGGCCCUUACUCCUACGGGAGGCAGCAGUGGGGAAUAUUGGACAAUGGGGGCAACCCUGAUCCAGCAAUUCUGUGUGCACGAAGAAGGUUUUCGGAUUGUAAAGUGCUUUCAGCAGGGAAGAAGUAAGUGACGGUACCUGCAGAAGAAGCGACGGCUAAAUACGUGCCAGCAGCCGCGGUAAUACGUAUGUCGCGAGCGUUAUCCGGAAUUAUUGGGCAUAAAGGGCAUCUAGGCGGCCUGACAAGUCAGGGGUGAAAACCUGCGGCUCAACCGCAGGCCUGCCUUUGAAACUGUGAGGCUGGAGUACCGGAGAGGUGGACGGAACUGCACGAGUAGAGGUGAAAUUCGUAGAUAUGUGCAGGAAUGCCGAUGAUGAAGAUAGUUCACUGGACGGUAACUGACGCUGAAGUGCGAAAGCCGGGGGAGCGAACAGG